Bos taurus (domestic cattle) is the source of this 72-nucleotide non-coding RNA. NCBI's taxonomy places the organism in Eukaryota, Metazoa, Chordata, Mammalia, Artiodactyla, Bovidae. The record is from Rfam.
UCUCUGGUGGUCCAGUGGUUAAGACUUUACCUUCCAAUGCAGAGAGUGCAGGUUCAAUUCCUGGCCAGGGAA